CGGGAAGUAGCUCAGCUUGGUAGAGCACUUGGUUUGGGACCAAGGGGCCGCAGGUUCGAAUCCUGUCUUCCCGA
Molecule: transfer RNA, 74 nt
Organism: Streptococcus sp.
Lineage: Bacteria; Bacillati; Bacillota; Bacilli; Lactobacillales; Streptococcaceae
Rfam family: tRNA
About the family: Transfer RNA (tRNA) molecules are approximately 80 nucleotides in length.
Source: Rfam